GCCCUCGUAGCUCAACGGAUAGAGCAGCUCCGUCCUAAGGAGAAGAUAGGAGUUCGAUUCUUCUCGAGGGCACCA
This 75-nucleotide transfer RNA is filed under the name Candidatus Parcubacteria bacterium. RNAcentral describes it as "tRNA-Arg". It matches the Rfam family "tRNA". From Rfam's summary of the family: Transfer RNA (tRNA) molecules are approximately 80 nucleotides in length. Their secondary structure includes four short double-helical elements and three loops (D, anti-codon, and T loops). The record is from RNAcentral. Lineage: Bacteria; Candidatus Parcubacteria.